RNAcentral lists this ribosomal RNA (406 nucleotides) under uncultured bacterium. Its description in RNAcentral is "partial 16S ribosomal RNA". It matches the Rfam family "Bacterial small subunit ribosomal RNA", at positions 30 to 526 of the family's 1533-position model. The record is from RNAcentral.
AUUGAACGCUGGCGGCAGGCUUAACACAUGCAAGUCGAGCGAGUGGCGGACGGGUGAGUAAUGUAUGGGAAUCUGCCCGAUAGAGGGGGAUAACUACUGGAAACGGUGGCUAAUACCGCAUACUAUCGGAUGAACCCAUAUGGGAUUAGCUAGUAGGUGGGGUAAAGGCUCACCUAGGCGACGAUCUCUAGCUGGUCUGAGAGGAUGACCAGCCACACUGGGACUGAGACACGGCCCAGACUCCUACGGGAGGCAGCAGUGGGGAAUAUUGGACAAUGGGCGCAAGCCUGAUGCAGCCAUGCCGCGUGAAUGAAGAAGGCCUUAGGGUUGUAAAGUACUUUCGGCGGAGAGGCGUUACCCGCAGAAGAAGCACCGGCUAACUCCGUGCCAGCAGCCGCGGUAAUUC